Molecule: ribosomal RNA, 472 nt
Filed under: uncultured bacterium
Lineage: Bacteria
Description: partial 16S ribosomal RNA
Rfam family: Bacterial small subunit ribosomal RNA
Source: RNAcentral
GACGAACGCUGGCGGCGUGCUUAACACAUGCAAGUCGAACGAUGAACCCGGAGCUUGCUCUGGGGGAUUAGUGGCGAACGGGUGAGUAACACGUGAGUAACCUGCCCUGGACUCUGGGAUAAGCGUUGGAAACGACGUCUAAUACCGGAUAGGACCUUGGAUCGCAUGAUCUGGGGUGGAAAGUUUUUUCGGUCUGGGAUGGACUCGCGGCCUAUCAGCUUGUUGGUGAGGUAAUGGCUCACCAAGGCGUCGACGGGUAGCCGGCCUGAGAGGGUGACCGGCCACACUGGGACUGAGACACGGCCCAGACUCCUACGGGAGGCAGCAGUGGGGAAGAGUGCACAAUGGGCGAAAGCCUGAUGCAGCAACGCCGCGUGCGGGAUGACGGCCUUCGGGUUGUAAACCGCUUUUAGUAGGGAAGAAGGGCUUCGGCUUGACGGUACCUGCAGAAAAAGGACCGGCUAACUACGUG